AACUCCGUGCCAGCAGCCGCGGUAAGACGGAGGAUGCAAGUGUUAUCCGGAAUUAUUGGGCGUAAAGCGUUUGUAGGUGGAAAAAUAAGUCUAUUGUUAAAUCCAGGAGCUCAACUUCUGUACAGCGAUAAGAAACUAUUUUUCUUGAGAAUGGUAGGGGUAGAAGGAAUUCCUAGUGUAGCGGUGAAAUGCGUAGAUAUUAGGAAGAACACCAAAGGCGAAGGCAUUCUACUGGGCCACUUCUGACACUGAGAGACGAAAGCUAGGGGAGCGAAUGGGAUUAGAUACCCCAGUAGUCCUAGCUGUAAACGAUGGAUACUAGGGGAUGCACAUAUCGACAUGUGUAUGCUCGCAGUUCACACAGUAAGUAUCCCGCCUGGGGAGUACGCUCGCAAGGGUGAAACUCAAAGGAAUUGACGGGGGCCCGCACAAGCGGUGGAGCAUGUGGUUUAAUUUGAUGCAACGCGAAGAACCUUACCAGAACUUGACAUACCAUGGACAUUUUUAUGAAAAUAAUUAGUUCCUUCGGGACCAUGGAUACAGGUGGUGCAUGGCUGUCGUCAGCUCGUGUCGUGAGAUGUUGGGUUAAGUCCCGCAACGAGCGCAACCCUUGUCUUUUGUUACCCCUUUCGAGAGAUUGGGGGAAUCGAAAGAGACUGCCGGUCAUAAACCGGAGGAAGGUGAGGAUGACGUCAAGUCAGCAUGCCCCUUACGUUCUGGGCCACACACGUGCUACAAUGGGCAAGACAAUAAGUAGCCAGCCUGCGAAGGUGCGCAAAUCUAAGAAACUUGCCCUCAGUUCGGAUUGGAGGCUGAA
RNAcentral lists this ribosomal RNA (817 nucleotides) under Prasinoderma singulare. RNAcentral describes it as "bacterial SSU rRNA". It matches the Rfam family "Bacterial small subunit ribosomal RNA", at positions 499 to 1309 of the family's 1533-position model. Lineage: Eukaryota; Viridiplantae; Prasinodermophyta; Prasinodermophyceae; Prasinodermales; Prasinodermaceae. The record is from RNAcentral.